UCCUUAGAUGUUCUGGGCCGCACGCGCGCUACACUGACGAAUGCAACGAGCUUAUAACCUUGGCCGAAAGGUCUGGGUAAUCUCCAAAUUUCGUCGUGAUGGGGAUAGAUUAUUGCAAUUAUUAAUCUUCAACGAGGAAUGCCUAGUAAGCGCAAGUCAUCAGCUUGCGUUGAUUACGUCCCUGCCCUUUGUACACACCGCCCGUCGCUCCUACCGAUUGAAUGGUCCGGUGAAGCGUUCGGACCGUGGCCUUUGGACGGUUCGCCGUCUGUUGGCUGCGGGAAGUUCGUUAAACCUUAUCAUUUAGAGGAAGGAGAANUCGUANCA
Molecule: ribosomal RNA, 327 nt
Filed under: uncultured eukaryote
Lineage: Eukaryota
Description: partial 18S ribosomal RNA
Rfam family: Eukaryotic small subunit ribosomal RNA
Source: RNAcentral